This 213-nucleotide ribosomal RNA is filed under the name Pyrenochaeta nobilis. RNAcentral's name for it is "partial large subunit ribosomal RNA". Lineage: Eukaryota; Fungi; Ascomycota; Dothideomycetes; Pleosporales; Cucurbitariaceae. The record is from RNAcentral.
AAGCGCUUGCAGCCAGACUUGCCUGUAGUUGCUCAUCUAGGCUUUUGCCUAGUGCACUCUUCUGCGGGCAGGCCAGCAUCAGUUUGGGCGGUUGGAUAAAGGCCUCUGUCAUGUACCUCCUUUCGGGGAGGCCUUAUAGGGGAGGCGACAUGCAACCAGCCUGGACUGAGGUCCGCGCAUCUGCUAGGAUGCUGGCGUAAUGGCUGUAAGCGG